UGCCAGCAGCCGCGGUAAUACGGAGGGGGUUAGCGUUGUUCGGAAUUACUGGGCGUAAAGCGCACGUAGGCGGACUAUUAAGUCAGGGGUGAAAUCCCGGGGCUCAACCCCGGAACUGCCUUUGAUACUGGUAGUCUAGAGUUCGAGAGAGGUGAGUGGAAUUCCGAGUGUAGAGGUGAAAGUCGUAGAUAUUCGGAGGAACACCAGUGGCGAAGGCGGAUCACUGGCUCGAUACUGAAGCUGAGGUGCGAAAGCGUGGGGAGAAAACAGGAUUAGAUA
RNAcentral lists this ribosomal RNA (279 nucleotides) under uncultured bacterium. Its description in RNAcentral is "partial 16S ribosomal RNA". It matches the Rfam family "Bacterial small subunit ribosomal RNA", at positions 506 to 784 of the family's 1533-position model. The record is from RNAcentral.